GCCAGACUCCUACGGGAGGCAGCAGUGGGGGAUAUUGCACAAUGGGGGCAACCCUGAUGCAGCGACGCCGCGUGAGCGAUGGAGUACUUCGGUAUGUAAAGCUCUGUCAGCAGGGAAGAGAAUGACGGUACCUGACCAAGAAGCCCCGGCUAAAUACGUGCCAGCAGCCGCGGUAAUACGUAGGGGGCAAGCGUUAUCCGGAAUUACUGGGUGUAAAGGGAGCGUAGACGGUGAUGCAAGUCUGGAGUGAAAGGCGGGGGCCCAACCCCCGGACUGCUCUGGAAACUGUGUAACUUGAGUGCAGGAGAGGUAAGCGGAAUUCCUAGUGUAGCGGUGAAAUGCGUAGAUAUUAGGAGGAACACCAGUGGCGAAGGCGGCUUACUGGACUGUAACUGACGUUGAGGCUCGAAAGCGUGGGGAGCAAACAGGAUUAGAUACCCUGGUACC
This 447-nucleotide ribosomal RNA is filed under the name uncultured bacterium. RNAcentral's name for it is "bacterial SSU rRNA". It matches the Rfam family "Bacterial small subunit ribosomal RNA", at positions 330 to 794 of the family's 1533-position model. The record is from RNAcentral.